This 792-nucleotide non-coding RNA is filed under the name Amynthas divergens. Lineage: Eukaryota; Metazoa; Annelida; Clitellata; Crassiclitellata; Megascolecidae. The record is from RNAcentral.
CAGUUUGAUUCUGACUGAGAUAUUAACUUUUAACCAACCAAAAUACAUGUAAAAUAUAUUAAACCCGCACUAACUAAUAUCUAAAUGAUUUAAUAAAUGUAUUUAGAAUAUUUUAUAUACAGCAGAGCGCCACAGUAAGCAAAACUUUUCAAUUUGAGAAAUCAAGAAAAGAGUAUGGUUUAAGGGCUGGCAAAAAUCGUGCCAGCUGCCGCGGUUAGACGAUAAGCCCAAGUUAAUAAAAUAUAAACUAAAUUAAUGAUAAAUUAAAAAAUAAUAAAAGUCUAAUUUUUAAAAUACUUGACUCAUAUUUAUCAAGUAAACAAUGAAAUCAUGAACUAAAACAUGGAUUAGAUACCCAUCUAUUCAUGAUAUAAAUUACAGUUGGAUAUUACGAACAACAGUUUAAAAUUCAAAGAUUUUGGCGGUGUCUUAUAAAACCAGGGGAACCUGUCUCAUAACUCGAUAAUCCACGUAUACCCAACCUUCUCUCGAAAUACAGCAUGUGUACUGCCGUUGUAAGCAUACCUUUAAAAGAUAAGUAUGCUACUAUGAUUAGAUACUAACCCAUAUACAUCAGGUCAAAGUGCAGCUAAUAAGAAGGUGAUGAUGGGUUACAACCCCAAAAUAGACUAUCAACUAAGAAAUAAAAAAUCUUACGAAAGUGGACUUGGCCGUAAUCAAUUUUAAAGUAAAGAAAUGAAUAAUAUCUAAGACAUGUACACAUCGCCCGUCACUCUACCCUAAAGGAUAGAUAAGUCGUAACAAAGUAGGUGUAAUGGAAAUUGCACCUGU